Sus scrofa (pig) is the source of this 1748-nucleotide long non-coding RNA. RefSeq lists it as uncharacterized. The record is from RefSeq and is a predicted model, not a curated record. Lineage: Eukaryota; Metazoa; Chordata; Mammalia; Artiodactyla; Suidae.
UUUGUUCCCUUUGAGCCAUGAUGGGAGUGGAACUCCUUAAAUGUGAAGAUUAUGAUAAUGUUUGGUAUGAGUUAUGGGAAGGUUGAUUGUGAAUCUGACUACCAAUAUAUGAGGUAGAGCAGGUAAAUUUAGGUUAAAAAAAUAGACCUCUAAAAUUCACUUAAAGAACAAAAAGUUGAUCUCUUUGUCAUGUAAGGGUCAGGCUGGGAACUCAGGUCUUGGAAAGUUCUCCAUGUUUGAUUCAGAAACAAGACUGCUGGCUGCCUUGGCAUCUUUAAUGUAUGGCUUCCAGCUAGUCCUGAGUGUUGCCAUUGUAACCACCUCAAUGGGGAAAGAGCAUGGCACUUGGAUAUUGUUAAUAGGUCUGGUCCGGAAUUGGCACACUCACUUCUGCUCAUAUGCCCAGGCAGAGGGUCCCGAAAGUGUUACACCUAACUGCAAGGGAGGCUGGGAAAUGGAGUUGUGUUACAAACAAGGGGAGAGUGUGUUUUGGUGGAUAGCUAGGAGUUCUGCUUUAACUGCAUACACCUAUCUAUCUGUCUAUGUAUCUAUUUAUUUAUUUUAACCUGCUGAUGGGAGAAUGAUUCCAGGAGCAAAAAAGCAUUACCCCUUUAUUUGCUACAGAUUCUGUGCACUAAACACUGGUACUUGUGAAAACUCAAGUCCCACCUGUCGGUAUCACCUCGUUUGACUCACCUUUCUCACUUUAUUCACUUUCCCACGAUUUAGCCCAAUUGAAUGAUGUUGCUCAUUCACAUUCAGGGUGAUACCAAUUUGCAACCAUUAACCACUGAUUCUCAAACUUCAGCAGGUUAGAAUCAGAAUUUUCUAACCUCAGAGCCAAAUCACCUGCAGAGCUUGUUACUCCACAAAUUGCCAGGCCUCUCCCCAGAGUUUCUCUUUUAGUAGGAGUGGACCUGCCUGAUCAUUUGCAUUUCUAAUAUGUUUCAGGUGAUAUUGGUUUGCGAUCUGGGCCCAGACACUUUAAAAACCACCAUCUUGCGCUCUACGAAGGUGGCUGCAUUUUUCUCUCCUGGCAUCUUCCACCUUCUUACAUCAAAACUAGUUUUCUCUUCCCCAGAAAGGGGUUGAAGGGAUCUGCCUGUCUUCUGGAAGGUGAAACUGAAGUUCUUUCUGAGCUGAGAUAUUAGACUGAAUGGUGAUAAAGACAAUCUAACUUUGAAAGAUGAAGAAUCCAAAUACUCCAGAAUUGUUUGCUGUCACAGACUACUAACUGCAGCAUUACAAAAGAGAAGACUGUGAUACCUGAAGAACAUAGCAUUAUAGGAAAGCAAUGAUCAGCAUUAAGAUGAAAUAUACGUGGCAGAGUCUGAAAUCUCUACUCCCAAGCAGCUACUGGUUUGACUGAUUAUAUGAAGUUAAAGCCUGGGGAGUUGAUGCUUGUGGGGUCCAGAUUUGAGCAAUGGAAUGUAAGAGAGGAGCAUCUAGAAAAGGCAUCCUUCCAUCUUCUCUCUGUAGGAGAGUUCAAGAUAUUCAAGGUGUAACUUUUCCAUACAUCCUAUCAGGAGAUUUCUGUGCCUGGGGUCACCUGCAGAAAAUUGGCUAUGUUUCUUUGCAGCUCAUUAUGAAGAAGCGGCCAGUGAAGUAAUGUACCACCUGGCAGUCACUUCUUAUCCUUUCUGGACCCAGCUUCCUUCCCUUACUUGUGCUGAUUAAGAUUGCUCCCCCUUCAAUAAAGCAUUUAGUCUUAACUCAUGCUUUGUUCUCUAGAGUACACAGAACAUGAA